UACGAAGGGGGCUAGCGUUGCUCGGAAUUACUGGGCGUAAAGCGCACGUAGGCGGCUUUCUAAGUCGGAGGUGAAAUCCUGGAGCUCAACUCCAGAACUGCCUUCGAUACUGGAGAGCUUGAGUCCGGGAGAGGUGAGUGGAACUGCGAGUGUAGAGGUGAAAUUCGUAGAUAUUCGCAAGAACACCAGUGGCGAAGGCGGCUCACUGGCCCGGUACUGACGCUGAGGUGCGAAAGCGUGGGGAGCAAACGGG
RNAcentral lists this ribosomal RNA (253 nucleotides) under uncultured bacterium. RNAcentral's name for it is "partial 16S ribosomal RNA". It matches the Rfam family "Bacterial small subunit ribosomal RNA", at positions 524 to 776 of the family's 1533-position model. The record is from RNAcentral.